CCUACGGGAGACAGCAGUGGGGAAUAUUGCACAAUGGGGGAAACCCUGAUGCAGCGACGCCGCGUGAGUGAAGAAGUAAUUCGUUAUGUAAAGCUCUAUCAGCAGGGAAGAAAAUGACGGUACCUGACUAAGAAGCCCCGGCUAACUACGUGCCAGCAGCCGCGGUAAUACGUAGGGGGCAAGCGUUAUCCGGAUUUACUGGGUGUAAAGGGAGCGUAGACGGUGAUGCAAGUCCGGAGUGAAAGCCCGGGGCUCAACCCCGGGACUGCUGUGGAAACUGUGGGGCUGGAGUGCAGGAGGGGUAAGCGGAAUUCCUGGUGUAGCGGUGAAAUGCGUAGAUAUCAGGAGGAACACCAGGGGCGAAGGCGGCUUACUGGACCGUAACUGACGUUGAGGCUCGAAAGCGUGGGGAGCAAACAGGAUUAGAUACCCGAGUAGUC
This 440-nucleotide ribosomal RNA is filed under the name uncultured bacterium. Its description in RNAcentral is "partial 16S ribosomal RNA". It matches the Rfam family "Bacterial small subunit ribosomal RNA", at positions 338 to 795 of the family's 1533-position model. The record is from RNAcentral.